GCAAAGUCCCUGUACUCAGGGAAGUCCUGGGACACCCGGUGGUUCACACACAUCAUCUUGACUGGGACAGGACAGCAAGCCAAGGAUCCAUAAAUGGAAGCUAAUCGAAUCCUGACAUUGACUUGUGAUUGAGGACUCAAGCAGAUUCUAUCCCUGCCCAGACUCACGACCUUUCUAGCUGUUCUUAGCAAUAAGUGUGUCACCAGGAGCAAAUUGGCCUGUCAGGAAGGACAAAGACACACAGGACAGCCAGAACUUGUCUCUUGUUCCUUGAGUGCACCGUAGCCAUUUGAUUCUGGAAGAAGACAGUCAGGACACACAAACAGUAGUGUGUGGUGUGUUGAGAACUUUGGAGGAGGACGUCCUUGCUCUGUGGUAUCCAGCAUGCAUCAGCUGCUCCUGUGAUUGAGAUCUUUUGUGAAAUGUCGCUUCUGCUUUCUCCACAGAGAACUCUGAAAGGUUCUUGAGAAUGACACAUCUCUAGCAAGCCAUGAGGGCCAAAUGUUCCUAAAUUAAUUUCAUCUGUAACCUUG
Long non-coding RNA from Mastomys coucha (southern multimammate mouse), 533 nucleotides. RefSeq lists it as uncharacterized. NCBI's taxonomy places the organism in Eukaryota, Metazoa, Chordata, Mammalia, Rodentia, Muridae. The record is from RefSeq and is a predicted model, not a curated record. The transcript is spliced from 3 exons.